GGGUUGUGAGGUUAAGCGACUAAGCGUACACGGUGGAUGCCCUGGCAGUCAGAGGCGAUGAAGGACGUGCUAAUCUGCGAUAAGCGUCGGUAAGGUGAUAUGAACCGUUAUAACCGGCGAUUUCCGAAUGGGGAAACCCAGUGUGUUUCGACACACUAUCAUUAACUGAAUCCAUAGGUUAAUGAGGCGAACCGGGGGAACUGAAACAUCUAAGUACCCCGAGGAAAAGAAAUCAACCGAGAUUCCCCCAGUAGCGGCGAGCGAACGGGGAGCAGCCCAGAGCCUGAAUCAGUAUGUGUGUUAGUGGAAGCGUCUGGAAAGGCGCGCGAUACAGGGUGACAGCCCCGUACACAAAAAUGCACAUAUUGUGAGCUCGAUGAGUAGGGCGGGACACGUGGUAUCCUGUCUGAAUAUGGGGGACCAUCCUCCAAGGCUAAAUACUCCUGACUGACCGAUAGUGAACCAGUACCGUGAGGGAAAGGCGAAAAGAACCCCGGCGAGGGGAGUGAAAAAGAACCUGAAACCGUGUACGUACAAGCAGUGGGAGCACGCUUAGGCGUGUGACUGCGUACCUUUUGUAUAAUGGGUCAGCGACUUAUAUUCUGUAGCAAGGUUAACCGAAUAGGGGAGCCGAAGGGAAACCGAGUCUUAACUGGGCGUUAAGUUGCAGGGUAUAGACCCGAAACCCGGUGAUCUAGCCAUGGGCAGGUUGAAGGUUGGGUAACACUAACUGGAGGACCGAACCGACUAAUGUUGAAAAAUUAGCGGAUGACUUGUGGCUGGGGGUGAAAGGCCAAUCAAACCGGGAGAUAGCUGGUUCUCCCCGAAAGCUAUUUAGGUAGCGCCUCGUGAAUUCAUCUCCGGGGGUAGAGCACUGUUUCGGCAAGGGGGUCAUCCCGACUUACCAACCCGAUGCAAACUGCGAAUACCGGAGAAUGUUAUCACGGGAGACACACGGCGGGUGCUAACGUCCGUCGUGAAGAGGGAAACAACCCAGACCGCCAGCUAAGGUCCCAAAGUCAUGGUUAAGUGGGAAACGAUGUGGGAAGGCCCAGACAGCCAGGAUGUUGGCUUAGAAGCAGCCAUCAUUUAAAGAAAGCGUAAUAGCUCACUGGUCGAGUCGGCCUGCGCGGAAGAUGUAACGGGGCUAAACCAUGCACCGAAGCUGCGGCAGCGACACUAUGUGUUGUUGGGUAGGGGAGCGUUCUGUAAGCCUGUGAAGGUGUGCUGUGAGGCAUGCUGGAGGUAUCAGAAGUGCGAAUGCUGACAUAAGUAACGAUAAAGCGGGUGAAAAGCCCGCUCGCCGGAAGACCAAGGGUUCCUGUCCAACGUUAAUCGGGGCAGGGUGAGUCGACCCCUAAGGCGAGGCCGAAAGGCGUAGUCGAUGGGAAACAGGUUAAUAUUCCUGUACUUGGUGUUACUGCGAAGGGGGACGGAGAAGGCUAUGUUGGCCGGGCGACGGUUGUCCCGGUUUAAGCGUGUAGGCUGGUUUUCCAGGCAAAUCCGGAAAAUCAAGGCUGAGGCGUGAUGACGAGGCACUACGGUGCUGAAGCAACAAAUGCCCUGCUUCCAGGAAAAGCCUCUAAGCAUCAGGUAACAUCAAAUCGUACCCCAAACCGACACAGGUGGUCAGGUAGAGAAUACCAAGGCGCUUGAGAGAACUCGGGUGAAGGAACUAGGCAAAAUGGUGCCGUAACUUCGGGAGAAGGCACGCUGAUAUGUAGGUGAAGUCCCUCGCGGAUGGAGCUGAAAUCAGUCGAAGAUACCAGCUGGCUGCAACUGUUUAUUAAAAACACAGCACUGUGCAAACACGAAAGUGGACGUAUACGGUGUGACGCCUGCCCGGUGCCGGAAGGUUAAUUGAUGGGGUUAGCCGCAAGGCGAAGCUCUUGAUCGAAGCCCCGGUAAACGGCGGCCGUAACUAUAACGGUCCUAAGGUAGCGAAAUUCCUUGUCGGGUAAGUUCCGACCUGCACGAAUGGCGUAAUGAUGGCCAGGCUGUCUCCACCCGAGACUCAGUGAAAUUGAACUCGCUGUGAAGAUGCAGUGUACCCGCGGCAAGACGGAAAGACCCCGUGAACCUUUACUAUAGCUUGACACUGAACAUUGAGCCUUGAUGUGUAGGAUAGGUGGGAGGCUUUGAAGUGUGGACGCCAGUCUGCAUGGAGCCGACCUUGAAAUACCACCCUUUAAUGUUUGAUGUUCUAACGUUGACCCGUAAUCCGGGUUGCGGACAGUGUCUGGUGGGUAGUUUGACUGGGGCGGUCUCCUCCUAAAGAGUAACGGAGGAGCACGAAGGUUGGCUAAUCCUGGUCGGACAUCAGGAGGUUAGUGCAAUGGCAUAAGCCAGCUUGACUGCGAGCGUGACGGCGCGAGCAGGUGCGAAAGCAGGUCAUAGUGAUCCGGUGGUUCUGAAUGGAAGGGCCAUCGCUCAACGGAUAAAAGGUACUCCGGGGAUAACAGGCUGAUACCGCCCAAGAGUUCAUAUCGACGGCGGUGUUUGGCACCUCGAUGUCGGCUCAUCACAUCCUGGGGCUGAAGUAGGUCCCAAGGGUAUGGCUGUUCGCCAUUUAAAGUGGUACGCGAGCUGGGUUUAGAACGUCGUGAGACAGUUCGGUCCCUAUCUGCCGUGGGCGCUGGAGAACUGAGGGGGCUGCUCCUAGUACGAGAGGACCGGAGUGGACGCAUCACUGGUGUUCGGGUUGUCAUGCCAAUGGCACUGCCCGGUAGCUAAAUGCGGAAGAGAUAAGUGCUGAAAGCAUCUAAGCACGAAACUUGCCCCGAGAUGAGUUCUCCCUGACUCCUUGAGAGUCCUGAAGGAACGUUGAAGACGACGACGUUGAUAGGCCGGGUGUGUAAGCGCAGCGAUGCGUUGAGCUAACCGGUACUAAUGAACCGUGAGGCUUAACCUUACAACGCCGAAGGUGUUU
This 2929-nucleotide ribosomal RNA is filed under the name Escherichia coli. RNAcentral's name for it is "bacterial LSU rRNA". It matches the Rfam family "Bacterial large subunit ribosomal RNA". Lineage: Bacteria; Pseudomonadati; Pseudomonadota; Gammaproteobacteria; Enterobacterales; Enterobacteriaceae. The record is from RNAcentral.